Molecule: non-coding RNA, 82 nt
Organism: Aspergillus tubingensis
Lineage: Eukaryota; Fungi; Ascomycota; Eurotiomycetes; Eurotiales; Aspergillaceae
Source: the annotation of a RefSeq genome assembly
GGCAAGAUGGCCGAGCGGUCUAAGGCGCUAGGGUCAGGUCCUAGUCUCGAAAGGGGCGUGGGUUCGAAUCCCACUCUUGUCA